CCCAUGUAACCGAUAGUGAACUAGUACCGUGAGGGAAAGGUGAAAAGUACUCCUAACGGAGAGUGAAAUAGAACCUGAAACCGUAUGCCUACAAGCAGUCGGAGUUCCGAUUUAUCGGGAUGACGGCGUGCCUUUUGCAUAAUGAGCCAGCGAGUUGCUCGUAUGUUGCAAGGUUAAUCCCUUUAUGGGAGGAGCCGAAGCGAAAGCGAGUCUGAAUAGGGCGAUUCAGUAACAUGCGGCAGACCCGAAGCCGAGUGAUCUAUCCAUGGCCAGGUUGAAGCGACAGUAACAUGUUGUGGAGGACCGAACCCACAAGGGUUGAAAACCUUGGGGAUGAGCUGUGGAUAGGGGUGAAAGACCAAUCAAACUCGGCGAUUUCUGGUUCUCCCCGAAAUGCCUUUAGGGGCAGCGUCGUGGAAGUGCCUCGGGGGUAGAGCACUGGAUGGACUAGGGGCCCUACAAGGUUACCAAACCCAACCAAACUCCGAAUACCGAGGUUACGAUCCCCGGCAGUGAGGCCACGGGGGAUAAGCUUCGUGGCCGAGAGGGAAACAACCCAGACCAACAGCUAAGGUCCCAAAAUCUGAGUUAAGUGACUAAGGAUGUAAGAUUGCACAGACAGCUAGGAGGUUGGCUUAGAAGCAGCCAUCCUUUAAAGAAAGCGUAAUAGCUCACUAGUUAAGGAAUCUUGCGCCGAUAAUCUCCGGGACUGUUAAACUCAGUACCGAAGCUCUGGUCCCGGCACAUUUGUGUCGGGAGGUAGGGGAGCGUUCCAUCUACCUGUGAAGUCCUAGACGGGAGUCGGGAUGGAGGAAAUGGAAGUGAGUAUGCUGGCAUGAGUAGCGAUAAUUCCAGUGAAAUUCUGGGACACCAAAAGCCUAAGGUUUCCUGAGUAAAGUAACUCUGCUCAGGGUUAGUCGGUCCCUAAGCCGAGGCCGAAAGGCGUAGGCGAUGGAUAACAGGUGAAUAUUCCUGUACCACCCAAUCAUCGUUUGAACGAUGGGGGGACGCAGAAGUGAAAGAUCAGCCCGGUUUUGAUUGUCCGGGUUUAAGUGUGUAGGGAGUUCUGGCAGGCAAAUCCACCGGAACCAUCCUGAGACACGAAUAGGAGGGCCUAGCCCACAAACUGAUCCUAAUCAUGCUGCCUAGAAAAUCCUCUAAGUGAGAUUUUUGGGUGACCGUACCGUAAACGGACACACGUAGGCGAGAAGAGUAUUCUAAGGUGCUUGGGUUAAUCGUGGUAAAGGAACUCGGCAAAUUGGCCCCGUAACUUCGGGAGAAGGGGCGCCUCAAGUAGGUAAAGGCCUUCGCGGCUGGAGCCCAAAGAGGUCGCAGAAACCAGGGUUGAGCGACUGUUUACCAAAAACACAGGUCUCUGCUAAGUCGCAAGACGAAAUAUAGGGACUGACACCUGCCCGGUGCCGGAAGGUUAAGUAGAGGGGUUAUCUCGAUUCGUCGAGAGAAGCUCUGAAAUGAAGCCCCGGUGAACGGCGGCCGUAACUAUAACGGUCCUAAGGUAGCGAAAUUCCUUGUCGGGUAAGUUCCGACCCGCACGAAUGGUGUAACGACUUGACCACUGUCUCUACCACGAGCCCAGCGAAAUUGCAGUGUCGGUGAAGAUACCGGCUACCCGCGGCAGGACGGAAAGACCCCGUGAACCUUUACUACAUCCUGACAUUGGGUUUUGGUUAUGUAUGUGUAGGAUAGGUGGGAGGCUUUGAAGCUCGGACGCUAGUUCGGGUGGAGCCAACCUUGAAAUACCACCCCUAUAUUGCUGAAAUUCUAAUUCCGACCCUUGAAUCAGGGCGGGAAACAGUGUCAGGUGGGUAGUUUGACUGGGGCGGUCUCCUCCUAAAAAGUAACGGAGGAGCCCAAAGGUUCCCUCAGCACGGACGGUAAUCGUGCAAAGAGUGCAAAGGCAUAAGGGAGCUUAACUGCAAGGCCGACAGGCCGAGCAGGUGCGAAAGCAGGGCUUAGUGAUCCGGUGGUCCCGAAUGGAAGGGCCAUCGCUCAACGGAUAAAAG
Molecule: ribosomal RNA, 2024 nt
Filed under: metagenome
Description: bacterial LSU rRNA
Rfam family: Bacterial large subunit ribosomal RNA
Source: RNAcentral